GACGAACGCUGGCGGCGUGCUUAACACAUGCAAGUCGAACGCUGAAGCCUAGCUUGCUGGGUGGAUGAGUGGCGAACGGGUGAGUAACACGUGAGUAACCUGCCCUCUUCUUUGGGAUAACGCCCGGAAACGGGUGCUAAUACUGGAUAUUCACUGAUCUUCGCAUGGGGGUUGGUGGAAAGGUUUUUUCUGGUGGGGGAUGGGCUCGCGGCCUAUCAGCUUGUUGGUGGGGUGAUGGCCUACCAAGGCUUUGACGGGUAGCCGGCCUGAGAGGGUGACCGGUCACAUUGGGACUGAGAUACGGCCCAGACUCCUACGGGAGGCAGCAGUGGGGAAUAUUGCACAAUGGGCGAAAGCCUGAUGCAGCGACGCCGCGUGAGGGAUGGAGGCCUUCGGGUUGUAAACCUCUUUCGCUCAUGGUCAAGCCGCAACUUAGGGUUGUGGUGAGGGUAGUGGGUAAAGAAGCGCCGGCUAACUACGUGCCAGCAGCCGCGGUAAUACGUAGGGCGCGAGCGUUGUCCGGAAUUAUUGGGCGUAAAGGGCUUGUAGGCGGUUUGGUCGCGUCUGCCGUGAAAUCCUCUGGCUUAACUGGGGGCGUGCGGUGGGUACGGGCUUGACUUUGAGUGCGGUAGGGGAGACUGGAACUCCUGGUGUAGCGGUGGGAAUGCUCAGAUAUCAGGAAGAACUCUGGUUGGCUAAGGCUGGUCUCUGGUCCGUUUCUGACGCCUAUGAGCCGAAGCGUGUGUGAGUGUGCAGGAUUGAUCCCUGGUGUGUUGGGUGGAAUUCCCAGUGUUUUUGUGCUUUGGAUACCGUCAACCUGAAGGUGAGUACAGGUGCCAUUUUUUCACUUUGGAG
This 855-nucleotide ribosomal RNA is filed under the name uncultured Actinomyces sp. RNAcentral's name for it is "bacterial SSU rRNA". It matches the Rfam family "Bacterial small subunit ribosomal RNA", at positions 28 to 851 of the family's 1533-position model. Lineage: Bacteria; Bacillati; Actinomycetota; Actinomycetes; Actinomycetales; Actinomycetaceae. The record is from RNAcentral.